UGGGGAAUAUUGCACAAUGGGCGCAAGCCUGAUGCAGCCAUGCCGCGUGUAUGAAGAAGGCCUUCGGGUUGUAAAGUACUUUCAGCGGGGAGGAAGGGAGUAAAGUUAAUACCUUUGCUCAUUGACGUUACCCGCAGAAGAAGCACCGGCUAACUCCGUGCCAGCAGCCGCGGUAAUACGGAGGGUGCAAGCUUUAAUCGGAAUUACUGGGCGUAAAGCGCACGCAGGCGGUUUGUUAAGUCAGAUGUGAAAUCCCCGGGCUCAACCUGGGAACUGCAUCUGAUACUGGCAAGCUUGAGUCUCGUAGAGGGGGGUAGAAUUCCAGGUGUAGCGGUGAAAUGCGUAGAGAUCUGGAGGAAUACCGGUGGCGAAGGCGGCCCCCUGGACGAAGACUGACGCUCAGGUGCGAAAGCGUGGGGAGCAAACAGG
RNAcentral lists this ribosomal RNA (429 nucleotides) under Chloroflexota bacterium. RNAcentral describes it as "Chloroflexi bacterium partial 16S ribosomal RNA". It matches the Rfam family "Bacterial small subunit ribosomal RNA", at positions 355 to 776 of the family's 1533-position model. The record is from RNAcentral. Lineage: Bacteria; Bacillati; Chloroflexota.